AGUGAACGCUGGCGGUAGGCCUAACACAUGCAAGUCGAACGGCAGCACAGUAAGAGCUUGCUCUUACGGGUGGCGAGUGGCGGACGGGUGAGGAAUACAUCGGAAUCUACUUUUUCGUGGGGGAUAACGUAGGGAAACUUACUCUAAUACCGCAUACGACCUACGGGUGAAAGCAGGGGAUCUUCGGACCUUGCGCGAUUGAAUGAGCCGAUGUCGGAUUAGCUAGUUGGCGGGGUAAAGGCCCACCAAGGCGACGAUCCGUAGCUGGUCUGAGAGGAUGAUCAGCCACAGUGAAACUGAGACACGGUACAGACUCCUACGGGAGGCAGCAGUGGGAAAUAUUGGAAAAUGGGCGCAAGCCUGAUCCAGCCAUACCGCGUGGGUGAAGAAGGCCUUCGGGUUGUAAAGCCCUUUUGUUGGGAAAGAAAAGCAGCAGGUUAAUACCCCGCUGUUCUGACGGUACCCAAAGAAUAAGCACCGGCUAACUUCGU
RNAcentral lists this ribosomal RNA (491 nucleotides) under uncultured bacterium. Its description in RNAcentral is "partial 16S ribosomal RNA". It matches the Rfam family "Bacterial small subunit ribosomal RNA", at positions 29 to 506 of the family's 1533-position model. The record is from RNAcentral.